UUUGUUUCCGGCAAGAAACAGGCAAGAAAGCGAAGUGAGGAUUUUUGCAUGUUUUUGAAGGAAUCGUGGAAAAAAAAUUUGUCAGAAAGCGAAAUCGAGAAUUGUCCAACUUCGGCAAUUGGCAACGGACACGUGGCUGCCGAAAAGGAGGGUGACAAGU
Long non-coding RNA from Cucurbita moschata (crookneck pumpkin), 160 nucleotides. RefSeq lists it as uncharacterized. The transcript has 3 exons. NCBI's taxonomy places the organism in Eukaryota, Viridiplantae, Streptophyta, Magnoliopsida, Cucurbitales, Cucurbitaceae. The record is from RefSeq and is a predicted model, not a curated record.